RNAcentral lists this ribosomal RNA (460 nucleotides) under uncultured bacterium. RNAcentral describes it as "partial 16S ribosomal RNA". It matches the Rfam family "Bacterial small subunit ribosomal RNA", at positions 338 to 795 of the family's 1533-position model. The record is from RNAcentral.
CCUACGGGUGGCAGCAGUGAGGAAUAUUGGUCAAUGGGCGCGAGCCUGAACCAGCCAAGUAGCGUGAAGGAUGACUGCCCUACGGGUUGUAAACUUCUUUUAUAAAGGAAUAAAGUGAGGCACGUGUGCCUUUUUGUAUGUAUUUUAUGAAUAAGGCUCGGCUAACUCCGUGCCAGCAGCCGCGGUAUUACGGAGGAUCCGGGCGUUAUCCGGAUUUAUUGGGUUUAAAGGGAGCGUAGAGGGGUUGUUCAGUCAGUUGUGAAAGUUUGCGGCUCAACCGUAAAAUUGCAAUUGAUACUGGCAGCCUUGAGUGCAGUUGAGGUAGGCGGAAUUCGUGGUGUAGCGGUGAAAUGCUUAGAUAUCACGAAGAACUCCGAUUGCGAAGGCAGCCUACGAAACUGCCACUGACAUUGAGGCUCGAAAGUGUGGGUAUCAAACAGGAUUAGAUACCCCAGUAGUC